RNAcentral lists this ribosomal RNA (254 nucleotides) under uncultured bacterium. RNAcentral describes it as "partial 16S ribosomal RNA". It matches the Rfam family "Bacterial small subunit ribosomal RNA", at positions 524 to 776 of the family's 1533-position model. The record is from RNAcentral.
UACGUAGGGGGGCGAGCGUUGUCCGGAUUUAUUGGGCGUAAAGAGCGUGUAGGCGGCCAGGUAGGUCUGCUGUGAAAACUCGAGGCUCAACCUCGAGACGUCGGCGGAAACCAUCUGGCUAGAGUCCGGAAGAGGAGAGUGGAAUUCCUGGUGUAGCGGUGAAAUGCGCAGAUAUCAGGAAGAACACCCGUGGCGAAGGCGGCUCUCUGGGACGGUACUGACGCUGAGACGCGAAAGCGUGGGGAGCAAACAGG